UACGGGGGGGGUAAGCGUUGUUCGGAAUUACUGGGCGUAAAGGGCUCGUAGGCGGCCAACUAAGUCAGACGUGAAAUCCCUCAGCUUAACUGGGGAACUGCGUCUGAUACUGGAUGGCUUGGAUUCGGGAGAGGAAUGCGGAAUUCCAGGUGUAGCGGUGAAAUGCGUAGAUAUCUGGAGGAACACCGGUGGCGAAGGCGGCAUUCUGGACCGAUAUUGACGCUGAGGAGUGAAAGCCAGGGGAGCAAACGGG
This 253-nucleotide ribosomal RNA is filed under the name uncultured bacterium. RNAcentral's name for it is "partial 16S ribosomal RNA". It matches the Rfam family "Bacterial small subunit ribosomal RNA", at positions 524 to 776 of the family's 1533-position model. The record is from RNAcentral.